GACGAACGCUGGCGGCGUGCUUAACACAUGCAGGUCGAACGGGUCUGCCCUGUUUUUUGCGGGGUGGGUCAGUGGCGAACGGGUGAGUAACACGUGAGUAACCUGCCCCUCACUUCUGGAUAACCGCUUGAAAGGGUGGCUAAUACGGGGUGUUCUGGCUGUGCCGCAUGGUGUGGCUGGGAAAGAUUCACUUUUGUGGUGUUUUGGUGGGGGAUGGGCUCGCGGCCUAUCAGCUUGUUGGUGGGGUGAUGGCCUGCCAAGGCUUUGACGGGUAGCCGGCCUGAGAGGGUGGGCGGUCACACUGGGACUGAGAUACGGCCCAGACUCCUGCGGGAGGCAGCAGUGGGGGGUAUUGCACAAUGGGCGGAAGCCUGAUGCAGCGACGUCGCGUGAGGGAUGGAGGCCUUCGGGUUGUGAACCUCUUUCGCCGGUGAAGAAGGUCCUGCUCUUUGUGGUGGGGUUGACGGUAGCCGGGUUAUGAAGCGCCGGCUAACUACGUG
This 500-nucleotide ribosomal RNA is filed under the name uncultured bacterium. RNAcentral describes it as "partial 16S ribosomal RNA". It matches the Rfam family "Bacterial small subunit ribosomal RNA", at positions 28 to 507 of the family's 1533-position model. The record is from RNAcentral.